This 662-nucleotide ribosomal RNA is filed under the name uncultured bacterium. RNAcentral describes it as "bacterial SSU rRNA". It matches the Rfam family "Bacterial small subunit ribosomal RNA", at positions 94 to 788 of the family's 1533-position model. The record is from RNAcentral.
AGUGGCGGACGGGUGAGUAACGCGUGAGAAUCUACCUUCAGGACGGGGACAACAGCUGGAAACGGCUGCUAAUACCCGAUAUGCCGAAAGGUGAAAAGUUUUUUCGCCUGGAGAGGAGCUCGCGUCCGAUUAGCUAGUUGGUGAGGUAAAAGCUUACCAAGGCGACGAUCGGUAGCUGGUCUGAGAGGAUGAGCAGCCACACUGGAACUGAGACACGGUCCAGACUCCUACGGGAGGCAGCAGUGGGGAAUUUUCCGCAAUGGGCGAAAGCCUGACGGAGCAACGCCGCGUGGGGGAAGAAGGCUUUUGGAUUGUAAACCCCUUUUCUCAAGGAAGAACAAAAUGACGGUACUUGGGGAAUCAGCCUCGGCUAACUCCGUGCCAGCAGCCGCGGUAAUACGGAGGAGGCAAGCGUUAUCCGGAAUUAUUGGGCGUAAAGCGUUCGUAGGCGGCUGUUCAAGUCUGCUGUCAAAGACCGAGGCUCAACCUCGGGUAGGCAGUGGAAACUGGAUAGCUAGAGGUCGGUAGGGGCAGAGGGAAUUCCCAGUGUAGCGGUGAAAUGCGUAGAUAUUGGGAAGAACACCGGUGGCGAAAGCGCUCUGCUGGGCCGAACCUGACGCUGAGGGACGAAAGCUAGGGGAGCGAAUGGGAUUAGAUACCCC